RNAcentral lists this ribosomal RNA (497 nucleotides) under uncultured bacterium. RNAcentral describes it as "partial 16S ribosomal RNA". It matches the Rfam family "Bacterial small subunit ribosomal RNA", at positions 28 to 507 of the family's 1533-position model. The record is from RNAcentral.
GAUGAACGCUGGCGGCGUGCCUAAUACAUGCAAGUCGAGCGAACAGACGAGUAGCUUGCUCCUCUGACGUUAGCGGCGGACGGGUGAGUAACACGUGGAUAACCUACCUAUAAUACUGGGAUAACUUCGGGAAACCGGAGCUAAUACCGGAUAAUAUAUUGAACCGCAUGGUUCAAUAGUGAAAGACGGUUUUGCUGUCACUUAUAGAUGGAUCCGCGCCGCAUUAGCUAGUUGGUAAGGUAACGGCUUACCAAGGCGACGAUGCGUAGCCGACCUGAGAGGGUGAUCGGCCACACUGGAACUGAGACACGGUCCAGACUCCUACGGGAGGCAGCAGUAGGGAAUCUUCCGCAAUGGGCGAAAGCCUGACGGAGCAACGCCGCGUGAGUGAUGAAGGUCUUCGGAUCGUAAAACUCUGUUAUUAGGGAAGAACAAAUGUGUAAGUAACUAUGCACGUCUUGACGGUACCUAAUCAGAAAGCCACGGCUAACUACGUG